RNAcentral lists this ribosomal RNA (429 nucleotides) under Verrucomicrobiota bacterium. RNAcentral's name for it is "Verrucomicrobia bacterium partial 16S ribosomal RNA". It matches the Rfam family "Bacterial small subunit ribosomal RNA", at positions 355 to 776 of the family's 1533-position model. Lineage: Bacteria; Pseudomonadati; Verrucomicrobiota. The record is from RNAcentral.
UAGGGAAUCUUCGGCAAUGGGGGGAACCCUGACCGAGCAACGCCGCGUGAGUGAAGAAGGUUUUCGGAUCGUAAAGCUCUGUUGUUAAGGAAGAACGAGUGUGAGAAUGGAAAGUUCAUGCUGUGACGAUACUUAACCAGAAAGGGACGGCUAACUACGUGCCAGCAGCCGCGGUAAUACGUAGGUCCCGAGCGUUGUCCGGAUUUAUUGGGCGUAAAGCGAGCGCAGGCGGUUAGAAAAGUCUGAAGUGAAAGGCAGUGGCUCAACCAUUGUAGGCUUUGGAAACUGUUUAACUUGAGUGCAGAAGGGGAGAGUGGAAUUCCAUGUGUAGCGGUGAAAUGCGUAGAUAUAUGGAGGAACACCGGUGGCGAAAGCGGCUCUCUGGUCUGUAACUGACGCUGAGGCUCGAAAGCGUGGGGAGCGAACAGG